Molecule: small RNA, 77 nt
Filed under: Dasypus novemcinctus (nine-banded armadillo)
Lineage: Eukaryota; Metazoa; Chordata; Mammalia; Cingulata; Dasypodidae
Description: 7SK RNA (ENSDNOG00000030665.1)
Source: RNAcentral
UCUGGCUGCUCUAUCAGUCACCCCAUGGAUUCACUGAAUUGAUUCUAUUUAUCUGGCAGGCUGGACAGGUGUCUCCU